GUGCUGUUCGAAUUGAGUGCUGAUGAUGCUUUUUGUGAGUAUAAAUUCAUAAAAAAAAUUUGAUCAUAUAAUGCUGCAUUUUACUGCCCUGCAUUUUUUCCACAAAAGCUGGGGCAGUUGCAUUAGGCUUAUGUAUCUGCAAUUCUUUACAAAGCGGCACUCUUAAGGGACUUGAUGAGGAUUGAUGUAGAUUUUUGUUGUACCUUCCUGUUGAACCAAAACUGCAGAGGAAAACUUCAGCCUUUCUACAGUAUAUGAUUAAUGCUUGGUUUUGAACACUGGGUUUGCCUUUCAUAAGUUGUGUUAAAAUUUCAUUUGCUUGGGAAUGAUUGUCAAAUGUGUAACUUUUGCAAUUUAACAAGUUGAAA
This 368-nucleotide unclassified non-coding RNA is filed under the name Hevea brasiliensis (rubber tree). Lineage: Eukaryota; Viridiplantae; Streptophyta; Magnoliopsida; Malpighiales; Euphorbiaceae. The record is from RNAcentral.